RNAcentral lists this microRNA (22 nucleotides) under Monopterus albus (swamp eel). RNAcentral's name for it is "Mal-Novel-2_3p (mature (guide))". Lineage: Eukaryota; Metazoa; Chordata; Actinopteri; Synbranchiformes; Synbranchidae. The record is from RNAcentral.
AUGGUCAGCUGGUUAAAGUUCU